Oryza sativa Indica Group (long-grained rice) is the source of this 204-nucleotide microRNA precursor. It matches the Rfam family "MIR812 microRNA precursor family". NCBI's taxonomy places the organism in Eukaryota, Viridiplantae, Streptophyta, Magnoliopsida, Poales, Poaceae. The record is from Rfam.
AUGUAUGACACCGUUGACUUUUUUUUUCAACGUUUGACUAUCCGUCUUAUUAAAAAAUUUAUGUAACUAUCAUUUAUUUUAUUGUGACUUGAUUCAUUAUCAAAUGUUCUUUAAGUAUGACAUAAAUAUUUUCAUAUUUGCACAAAAAAUUUGAAUAAAACGAAUAGUCAAACGUUGAUCGAAAAGUCAACGGCGUCAUGCAUU